AGCCCCAAACUCACCACCUGGCCGUGGACACCUGUGUCAGCAUGUGGGACCUGGUUUUCUCCAUCGCCUUGUCUGUGGGGUGCACUGGAAUAGCCAGGUCUGGCUGGGUCGGCACAACCUGUUUGAGCCUGAAGACACAGGCCAGAGGGUCCCUGUCAGCCACAGCUUCCCACACCCGCUCUACAAUAUGAGCCUUCUGAAGCAUCGAAGCCUUAGACCAGAUGAAGACUCCAGCCAUGACCUCAUGCUGCUCCGCCUGUCAGAGCCUGCCAAGAUCACAGAUGCUGUGAAGGUCCUGGGCCUGCCCACCCAGGAGCCAGCACUGGGGACCACCUGCUACGCCUCAGGCUGGGGCAGCAUCGAACCAGAGGAGUGUACGCCUGGGCCAGAUGGUGUAGCUGGGAGCCCAGAUGCCUGGGUCUGAGGGAAGUGGGGCCAAAGAACCAGGUGGGGUCCGGCCACAGCCCAGUUUUUCUCUGACCCAUAGUCUUGCGCCCCAAGAGUCUUCAGUGCGUGAGCCUCCAUCUCCUGUCCAAUGACAUGUGUGCUAGAGCUUACUCUGAGAAGGUGACAGAGUUCAUGUUGUGUGCUGGGCUCUGGACAGGUGGUAAAGACACUUGUGGGGUGAGUCAUCCCUACUCCCAACAUCUGGAGGGGAAAGGUGAGUGAAGACCCUAAUUCUGGGCUGCAAUCUGAAAGCUAACCAGACAUCUGCCUCCCCUGCUCCCCAGCUAUAGCCACGCCCCCUCCCCAUGCCUCAUCUGCCACCCUCCUUCCCCCUUCCCUGACUCCCUCAACACAAGAGGUGAUUCUCACAGCAUAAUUCACCCAUUCCUGUGUUGAGCACAUGCUUACUGGGCACCUGCUACGUGACCAGCAUUGCCGUAGACCCUGGGAAGCAGCAGUGAACA
Molecule: small RNA, 911 nt
Filed under: Pan troglodytes (chimpanzee)
Lineage: Eukaryota; Metazoa; Chordata; Mammalia; Primates; Hominidae
Description: retained intron
Source: RNAcentral